RNAcentral lists this ribosomal RNA (301 nucleotides) under uncultured bacterium. Its description in RNAcentral is "partial 16S ribosomal RNA". It matches the Rfam family "Bacterial small subunit ribosomal RNA", at positions 509 to 807 of the family's 1533-position model. The record is from RNAcentral.
CAGCCGCCGCGGUAAUACGUAGGCAGCAAGCGUUGUUCGGAGUUACUGGGCGUAAAGGGUGCGUAGGCGGCUUUUUAAGUUUGGUGUGAAAUCUCCCGGCUCAACCGGGAGGGUGCGCCGAAUACUGAGAGGCUAGAGUGCGGGAGAGGAAAGUGGAAUUCCUGGUGUAGCGGUGAAAUGCGUAGAUAUCAGGAGGAACACCGGUGGUGUAAACGGCUUUCUGGACCGUAACUGACGCUGAGGCACGAAAGCGUGGGUAGCAAACAGGAUUAGAUACCCCGGUAGUCCCUGUCUCUUAUAC